RNAcentral lists this ribosomal RNA (424 nucleotides) under uncultured bacterium. RNAcentral's name for it is "bacterial SSU rRNA". It matches the Rfam family "Bacterial small subunit ribosomal RNA", at positions 358 to 774 of the family's 1533-position model. The record is from RNAcentral.
GGAAUAUUGGACAAUGGGCGCAAGCCUGAUCCAGCAAUGCCGCGUGUGUGAAGAAGGCCUGCGGGUUGUAAAGCACUUUCAGUGGGGAGGAAGGCCUCGGCGUUAAUAUCGUCGAGGAUUGACGUUACCUACAGAAGAAGCACCGGCUAACUCUGUGCCAGCAGCCGCGGUAAUACAGAGGGUGCAAGCGUUAAUCGGAAUUACUGGGCGUAAAGGGCGCGUAGGUGGUUAAUUAAGUCAGAUGUGAAAUCCCCGGGCUUAACCUGGGAAUUGCGUUUGAAACUGAUUGGCUAGAGUACGGGAGAGGGAAGUGGAAUUUCCGGUGUAGCGGUGAAAUGCGUAGAUAUCGGAAGGAACACCAGUGGCGAAGGCGACUUCCUGGCCCGUUACUGACACUGAGGCGCGAAAGCGUGGGGAGCGAACA